RNAcentral lists this long non-coding RNA (4802 nucleotides) under Rattus norvegicus (Norway rat). Its description in RNAcentral is "pregnancy induced noncoding RNA like, transcript variant 2 (Pincl)". Lineage: Eukaryota; Metazoa; Chordata; Mammalia; Rodentia; Muridae. The record is from RNAcentral.
GCUGGAGAGAAGAGCCUGCUGAAGCCUUUCUACGAGUGUUGAGUCAGGGAAGCUUACACAAUAGAGCAAGUGCAGGGUUUGAGGUGCCAUAAAAUGUGUCUGGACCUUUGUGAGGGAGACAUGGGAGGCUUUAAGAAAACCCACCCAAUCUAUGUCAGUGACUUAGUUUUUAACUAUCCUUAUAGCUCUGGGCACAAAGCCCUACCAAGACACUUGCAAGUUGGAGUUAGUUCAAGUAAAGUAAGUUGAUGCUGUGAUGUUGGGGGUCAGAAGAAAGCUAGAUGGCAAUCCGAAUACUUACCCUAGAAACAAUUCAUUUUACUCUGUCUGUUAGGGCCACUCGCAGGUAGACAUAGGCAGUGAUGGAAGACGACAAAUGAUAAGGAGAACUAUCCAGGAGUCUUAACUACAUCUUUCCUUGUGUAACAGAAUACCCAGACAAAGCAGCUUAAGAAUGGGAGGGUUUAUUUUGGCCCACAGUUUUGGUGUACAGUCAGUGGACCAUGGCAGGGGAGUGCCUGAGUGGUGGGUGCCUGAGGCACUGGUCCCAUUGUAUUCACAGGUGAGAAGAAGGGAAGGACGAAUACCAUACUUAACCAGAUUUUCUGGGGUAGCCUAAGACCCCAGCCCAAGGAAUGGUGGCACCCACCUUAAGGCUAUGUCUUCUCACCUCAACUAAUAUUAUCAAGAUAACUUGUGGCUGGUGUGGCUGGAGGCCUGUCUUAUAGGGAUUCCAGAUCCUGUCAACUUGAAGGCUAACAGUAACCAUCACACCAAUCAAUCUCCAUUUGGAACAAAAGAACAAAGCAGGGGAUAACACGAAGGACGGGGUUGUCAGAAAAAAACAGACAUAGAUUUAUCCAUCUUUUCAGAGCAAUAACUUUAUCUAGAGACAACAGGAAGUCAGGAGAAGUCUUGAGGCAAGACCUCCCCAAGGCCCCAUUGGCCAUCCUAUUGGCUGUGUAAGAGAAGCUCUGGCAUUCAUAAAGGAGAGAACGAAAGAGUGACCAUGGUGAGAUGAUUUAGUCAUAUUGAUGACAAAACAUAUAUCCUAUAAGACAUAUUUCUCUUAAAUCACUUACCAGUACUGUGCAGACCUGUGGAACAAUGCCAAAUAUUUACUCAUAAUUAAAAGAACAGGACUAAGGCUGUAGCUCUGUGGUAAAGUGCUUGCCUAGCUUGUGCAAAGUACUGAGUUAAAUCUCAAUGAGAACUGAGAGACUGGGCUGUUACCUGCUGUGCAGUUUACUGGAACCCCACAGGUAAACCUGGCUGUCUCCGUGGCUCAGGUAUUUAUCUGGUGGCCAUUUGAGUUCGAGUUGCUUUCUGUAUAAACAUAUUUUGCUUUUGAUUUGACUUGCUUUGCUUUGACGUGACAGUUUGAGUCCACAAAGCCCAUUUCUUCCUGGCCACUCUCUCCAGCUGGAACCCAUCUUGCUAGAGCCUGUCUGAUUGUCAGUGUGGGGCCUCAGAGCCCUGUCUCUGAACCAUACAGAAUCUGUUUUCUCUCCAGGAGAGCUAAGUGUUAACACUGUCCUGGGAACAUUAACCUUGCAGGAAGAUUGAUAGAGUUCAGAGUGCAGAGGAUAAAGCUUGCCUGGGAGGACCAGGGGAGGGUUGAGCUGUGGCAGAGGGCCUGAGGCAGAGGGAACCAAAAAGACUGCUCAGAGAAUUUCUGCUUUCCCUAAUGCCUCUUCUAUCUUUAUUUUAAAUACAGUUUGAUGUCUGUAUAGAAAUGUGAAGAUAGAUGAAGAAGCUAAACCAUACGAGAUGCUAAAACAUCUGGAUCUGGAAGUGCAGCAAGAUGGAUAAAAUUGGAUUUCCCAGGGACAGCACCCAUAGAGUUGGCAGGCUUCUGAGGACAGGCUACACUGGGGGAGGAGUGCAGAUGCAGGUGGACAAUGGGAGAGCCUCAGGGGUCUGCUUGAAUAGCAAUGGUUGUUAAAAUUCCUUUCUUUCCAAAGAGGCUGAGCCUGUCGACAAUGUCAUUCAUUUUCCUAAGAGAGGGUGCAGCAAACUAUUUUUGCAAAGUGAAAAGCUGAGAGCAUCCACCAAGGGCCACUGGCUUCCAUGAUUUCUCCGUUGUACAUUUAAAUGAGUUAGAAAGUAAACAUUUAUAGGAAUACACCAAAGCAUUAUGCUGUCAGGAACAUCUACAGUAAAGUCUACCUCCAGUGUCUUUUCAACCUAGUAACUUUGUUUCUGAAGUGGCUGAGUCUUUUGUGCAGACUUGAUUUUAUCUUCUGUAUAAAAACCUCUCAUGUUUCCUUUUAUAUGUGGCCUGAAGCGAGUCAGAGAGAUAGUUGAAGUGAUAAGCUAUCCUUUAUAAAUACAUUAUUAUCAAGCGAUCAAAUGCAAUUCAGCUAAUUACUCAUUGUCUCAGGAAUAUCAUGGGCUGUUGAUAAUAACAGGUAUUAUCUCUUUUUAAUACUGCUACCACCAUGAAUGUUGAUUAUGUGAAAAUGACAGUGGUCAAACGGACAGCAUUUAAGGGAUUACUGAAGAAGCACGAGACAAUUAUCAGCAAUCCAAGGCAUUCUUCUAUCAAAAGUGUUUUCAGCUAAUUUGGAUUAUACUAUUUGAGUAGGAAAGAUAAAAAUCAGAAGACAGAACCUGGUCACCAUCACUUUGCAGAUUGCUUGAAUGCUUGGAAGAUCACCUGAGUGCCUGCACCAAUCCUGUGUCCAUCUUAUGUUGAAGGGAGCAUCGAGGCUCUUUCCAUGGUUAAGAUGAUUGAGCAAAAAGGAUCCAUUCACAGCUCCGGCAACAUCUCUGGAAUAACUGUGUGAAGGAACUCUGCCAAGAGCUGGAAUUGCAGUUAACAUAGAAGCUUGAGGCAUAGAUAGCUGUAUCAUCUGGUUAAUAACUGCCAUUUGAAGGAGUCUGCAACACAGUGUGACCAAUUGCCUCAGUGUGUCCAGGUCUAUCCUAGUUUCCUGAGGCACAUACUUCCCAUCUUACAAGUGGAAAUAGAGCAAAAACCAUAUACACAGGCUCUUGGGAUUUGAAUGUGAAAUGAUGCUCAAAUGUUGGACUACUUAUCCUCACUUUGGGGAGCAGCUUGGAGCACAGAUAUCUGUACCAUCUGCUUAGAAACUUCCAUUUGAAGAAGUUUGCAAUAUGGUGUGAUCAAGUUGCUUCGGAGGUAAAGGACUUUUAAGACUGUGGCCUUGUUAGCAGGAAAAGGUAGCUGGGGGUGGGCCUGGAAGAUGAUCUCUACCUUAAUUCCAGCUAAGCACUCUGGUUCCUGGUUCUGCAAGAUGUGAACAAAUGUCUUAGUCAGGGUUUCUAUUCCUGCACAUAAACAUUAUGACCAAGAAGCAAAUUGGGGAGGAAAGGGUUUAUUCUGCUUAGAAGUCUACAUUGCUGUUCGUCACCAAAGGAAGUUAGGACCAGAAUUCAAGCAGCUCAGGAAGCAGGAGCUGAUGCAGAGGUCAUGGAGAGAUGUUACUUACUGGCUCAGCUUGCUUUCUUGUAGAACCCAAGACUACCAGCCUAGGGAUGGCCCCACCCACAAUGGGCUCUUCCACCCUUGAUCACUAAUUGAGAAAAUGCCUUACAGCUGGAUCUCAUGAAGGCAUUUCCUCAAGGAAAGCUCCUUUCUCUGUGAUAACUAAGCUUGUGUCAAGUUGACAUACAAAAUCAUCCAGUACAACAAGUCACGUUAUAACCUCUCAAUGUCACUGAAUGAGACCCACCAUGCCUUUCUUGUAAUGAUAGACCAAUACCUCUAAAACAGCAGUUCUCAAAGGUCAUGGCCUCUUUGGGGUACAAAGAGUAUCACAUAUCAGAUAUCCUGCGUAUCAAAUAUUUAAUUAUGAUGAUUCAUAACAUAGCAAAAUUAUAGUUAUGAAGUAGCAAUGAAAAUAAUUUUAUGGUUGGGAUCUUAACAAUAUGAAGAACUGUAUUAAAGGGCUGCAGCAUUAGGAAGGUUGAGAGCCACUGCUUUAAAACAUUAUCAUUGUGUCACAGUGACACAAUGACCGAAGUUAACUGGACUGGAUGGGUCUGAAUAACACAACACUUAAGUCAGUCUGGGAAGGCCCACCCACCCAGUCUGUCACUCAUUAUCAAUUUCAACUUGCAUGUGUUGAGAAAGCAUCUUCUUAGACUCCUAGCUGGAUUAGCUCACUGGGCUAACCUGGUACAAGGAAUUGGACAUUUUGGUGGGCCAACAUCGAGAAGGAUAGAUUCGAGAAAGACUAGAGUAGAUUAUGUAUGAUCUCUAGCACCUGGCACUGACCCCCUUCCCUCCACUUCAUAUAUUUUCUCCCUCAAGACAGGAUAUGGUGAAGUGGAUUCUGUCCAAGAGGAGAGCGAGGGCCUUCAGGAAAAACAGGUCUCUAUUCAGGGAAAUAAAGCCUUGAAACAUCUCUGGAUUGCCCAUUAAGCAGCACUGUAAGAGGUGGACUGAUUCUUGCCACAUGGAAACUCUUCAUGAUGAAGGGUUAAUGCAGGACUUUUAAAAAGUGCCCCCUGUUUCCAAACUGAAUAGUUUGUCUAGAAGGAGGGAUUUUGUUUUCUUUUCAGACUGGACCUAAAUUUGGCAUCCUAUGGAAGUUUUACUUUAUUCCAUCAGCACUCAGCCAAGUCUCCUGGGUCAGGAACAGCAGCUGAGAAAAGUUGAAUGAAUGGCCCAUUUUCUCUCUUCAUUCCUAUCCUUAAUUCCAUAUGUUUCUCAAUUUCUCACUUAUAAAUUUAAUUAGAUAAAUAUUUUUAAAUGUGGAAGGUGGAGACUUUGAGAACUCGAUGGAUUUGAAAUAAACUUUUGUGGCUCGUGGCAAAAAAAAAAAAAAAAAAAA